This 257-nucleotide ribosomal RNA is filed under the name uncultured bacterium. RNAcentral describes it as "partial 16S ribosomal RNA". It matches the Rfam family "Bacterial small subunit ribosomal RNA", at positions 96 to 354 of the family's 1533-position model. The record is from RNAcentral.
UGGCGGACGGGUGAGUAACGCGUGGGCAACCUGGCCUGUACAGGGGGAUAACACUUAGAAAUAGGUGCUAAUACCGCAUAACAGGGGAAGCCGCAUGGCUUUUCCCUGAAAACUCCGGUGGUACAGGAUGGGCCCGCGUCUGAUUAGCCAGUUGGCAGGGUAACGGCCUACCAAAGCGACGAUCAGUAGCCGGCCUGAGAGGGCGGACGGCCACACUGGGACUGAGACACGGCCCAGACUCCUACGGGAGGCAGCAG